UACGGAGGAUGCGAGCGUUAUCCGGAUUUAUUGGGUUUAAAGGGAGCGCAGGCGGACGCUUAAGUCAGUUGUGAAAUCCCGCGGCUCAACCGUGGAAUUGCAGUUGAUACUGGGCGUCUUGAGUGCGGCAGAGGCAUGCGGAAUUCGUGGUGUAGCGGUGAAAUGCUUAGAUAUCACGAAGAACUCCGAUUGCGAAGGCAGCAUGCUGGGCCGUUACUGACGCUGAGGCUCGAAAGUGCGGGUAUCAAACAGG
RNAcentral lists this ribosomal RNA (253 nucleotides) under uncultured bacterium. RNAcentral's name for it is "partial 16S ribosomal RNA". It matches the Rfam family "Bacterial small subunit ribosomal RNA", at positions 524 to 776 of the family's 1533-position model. The record is from RNAcentral.